CAAACGGCACCGGAGUAUAAUGAAAGUCGAGCGCUUGCCAAGAAAGCUUGCUUAAGUUGUUGCUUGAGCGGCGGACGGGUGAGUAACACUGUGGGCAACCUGCCUAUAAGACUGGGAUAACUUCGGGAAACCGGAGCUAAUACCGGAUAAUGCUUUUGAACACAUGUUCGAAAGCGGAAAGAUGGUUUCGGCUAUCACUUAUAGAUGGGCCCGCGGCGCAUUAGCUAGUUGGUGAGGUAACGGCUCACCAAGGCGACGAUGCGUAGCCGACCUGAGAGGGUGAUCGGCCACACUGGGACUGAGACACGGCCCAGACUCCUACGGGAGGCAGCAGUAGGGAAUCUUCCGCAAUGGACGAAAGUCUGACGGAGCAACGCCGCGUGAGUGAUGAAGGUUUUCGGAUCGUAAAACUCUGUUGUUAGGGAAGAACAAGUACCGGAGUAACUGCCGGUACCUUGACGGUACCUAACCAAAAAGCCACGGCUAACUACUUGCCAGCAGCCCGCGGUAAUACGUAGGUGGCAAGCGUUGUCCGGAAUUAUUGGGCGUAAAGCGCGCGCAGGCGGUUCUUUAAGUCUGAUGUGAAAGCCCACGGCUCAACCGUGGAGGGUCAUUGGAAACUGGGGAACUUGAGUGCAGAAGAGAAGAGCGGAAUUCCACGUGUAGCGGUGAAAUGCGUAGAGAUGUGGAGGAACACCAGUGGCGAAGGCGGCUCUUUGGUCUGUAACUGACGCUGAGGCGCGAAAGCGUGGGGAGCAAACAGGAUUAGAUACCCUGGUAGUCCACGCCGUAAACGA
RNAcentral lists this ribosomal RNA (797 nucleotides) under Robertmurraya siralis. RNAcentral's name for it is "bacterial SSU rRNA". It matches the Rfam family "Bacterial small subunit ribosomal RNA", at positions 36 to 809 of the family's 1533-position model. The record is from RNAcentral. Lineage: Bacteria; Bacillati; Bacillota; Bacilli; Caryophanales; Bacillaceae.